CAUUAAAAAAAUUCAUUCAUCUUUUACUGUUAAGAAUUGGUGUGGCUGAUAGAAUAACAAAAUAGUUACACGUGGCAUGUCACGUGUACCUCAUUCCGAUAUAUAAUGACCAAUUUUUAAUAGUAGAACUGAAUGAAAUUUUUACCA
This is a non-coding RNA of Gossypium raimondii (Peruvian cotton), 147 nucleotides long. Lineage: Eukaryota; Viridiplantae; Streptophyta; Magnoliopsida; Malvales; Malvaceae. The record is from Rfam.